RNAcentral lists this ribosomal RNA (397 nucleotides) under uncultured bacterium. RNAcentral's name for it is "bacterial SSU rRNA". It matches the Rfam family "Bacterial small subunit ribosomal RNA", at positions 28 to 430 of the family's 1533-position model. The record is from RNAcentral.
GACGAACGCUGGCGGCGUGCUUAACACAUGCAAGUCGAGCGGUAAGGCCCUUUCGGGGGUACACGAGCGGCGAACGGGUGUGUAACACGUGGGUGACCUGCCCUCAGCUCUGGGAUAAGCCUGGGAAACCGGGUCUAAUACCGGAUAUGACUCCAUGACGCAUGUUGUGGGGUGGAAAGCCUUGUGCGGCUGAGGAUGGGCCCGCGGCCUAUCAGCUUGUUGGUGGGGUGAUGGCCUACCAAGGCGACGACGGGUAGCCGGCCUGAGAGGGCGACCGGCCACACUGGGACUGAGACACGGCCCAGACUCCUACGGGAGGCAGCAGUGGGGAAUCUUGCGCAAUGGGGCGAAAGCCUGACGCAGCGACGCCGCGUGAGGGAUGACGGCCUGUGUAACU